Molecule: ribosomal RNA, 1384 nt
Filed under: Curtobacterium sp.
Lineage: Bacteria; Bacillati; Actinomycetota; Actinomycetes; Micrococcales; Microbacteriaceae
Description: bacterial SSU rRNA
Rfam family: Bacterial small subunit ribosomal RNA
Source: RNAcentral
GAUGAUGCCCAGCUUGCUGGGUGGAUUAGUGGCGAACGGGUGAGUAACACGUGAGUAACCUGCCCCUGACUCUGGGAUAAGCGUUGGAAACGACGUCUAAUACUGGAUAUGACUGCCGGCCGCAUGGUCUGGUGGUGGAAAGAUUUUUUGGUUGGGGAUGGACUCGCGGCCUAUCAGCUUGUUGGUGAGGUAAUGGCUCACCAAGGCGACGACGGGUAGCCGGCCUGAGAGGGUGACCGGCCACACUGGGACUGAGACACGGCCCAGACUCCUACGGGAGGCAGCAGUGGGGAAUAUUGCACAAUGGGCGAAAGCCUGAUGCAGCAACGCCGCGUGAGGGAUGACGGCCUUCGGGUUGUAAACCUCUUUUAGUAGGGAAGAAGCGAAAGUGACGGUACCUGCAGAAAAAGCACCGGCUAACUACGUGCCAGCAGCCGCGGUAAUACGUAGGGUGCAAGCGUUGUCCGGAAUUAUUGGGCGUAAAGAGCUCGUAGGCGGUUUGUCGCGUCUGCUGUGAAAUCCCGAGGCUCAACCUCGGGCUUGCAGUGGGUACGGGCAGACUAGAGUGCCGGUAGGGGAGAUUUGGAAAUUCCUGGUGUAGCGGUUGGAAAUGCGCAGAUAUCAGGGAGGAAACACCGAUGGCGAAGGCAGAUCUCUGGGCCGUAACUGACGCUGAGGAGCGAAAGCGUGGGGAGCGAACAGGAUUAGAUACCCUGGUAGUCCACGCCGUAAACGUUGGGCGCUAGAUGUAGGGACCUUUCCACGGUUUCUGUGUCGUAAGCUAACGCAUUAAGCGCCCCGCCUUGGGGAGUACGGCCGCAAGGCUAAAACUCAAAGGAAUUGACGGGGGCCCGCACAAGCGGCGGAGCAUGCGGAUUAAUUCGAUGCAACGCGAAGAACCUUACCAAGGCUUGACAUACACCGGAAACGGCCAGAGAUGGUCGCCCCCUUGUGGUCGGUGUACAGGUGGUGCAUGGUUGUCGUCAGCUCGUGUCGUGAGAUGUUGGGUUAAGUCCCGCAACGAGCGCAACCCUCGUUCUAUGUUGCCAGCGCGUUAUGGCGGGGACUCAUAGGAGACUGCCGGGGUCAACUCGGAGGAAGGUGGGGAUGACGUCAAAUCAUCAUGCCCCUUAUGUCUUGGGCUUCACGCAUGCUACAAUGGCCGGUACAAAGGGCUGCGAUACCGUAAGGUGGAGCGAAUCCCAAAAAGCCGGUCUCAGUUCGGAUUGAGGUCUGCAACUCGACCUCAUGAAGUCGGAGUCGCUAGUAAUCGCAGAUCAGCAACGCUGCGGUGAAUACGUUCCCGGGCCUUGUACACACCGCCCGUCAAGUCAUGAAAGUCGGUAACACCCGAAGCCGGUGGCCUAACCCUUGUGGAAGGAGC